ACUAAGUAACGUGUUACUGGCAUGAAUUAGCGUGUUUCCAUCCAACUUCCAAAUGCGCAUUUAAUCUAUGCGAAUAAGAAAUCCCGGUUGGAAACACGUGAAAUGCGCAUUAAAAAUCCUAAUGCGCAUCUAUAUUUGAUUCGCUAGAGGGGGGUGGAUUAACUCUCGAUGCGCAUAAGGUAUAAUGCGAAUAAAGUCGAUGGAAACGGUUUAUUCGCAUCGUGUGACGUAACCUUCAGAGACUCUCAGCAAUC
Alosa sapidissima (American shad) is the source of this 254-nucleotide long non-coding RNA. RefSeq lists it as uncharacterized. The transcript has 4 exons. The record is from RefSeq and is a predicted model, not a curated record. Lineage: Eukaryota; Metazoa; Chordata; Actinopteri; Clupeiformes; Clupeidae.